RNAcentral lists this long non-coding RNA (242 nucleotides) under Taeniopygia guttata (zebra finch). Its description in RNAcentral is "lncRNA (ENSTGUG00000024978.1)". Lineage: Eukaryota; Metazoa; Chordata; Aves; Passeriformes; Estrildidae. The record is from RNAcentral.
AGUUCCCUUCUAUUCCACAGGUUUCUUCUGUGAGUUUUGGCAAUCCUGCAUUUGCCAUUCUCCUGCAAAGGCUUGGAUCACCGGUGCUCUGCUGUGUGCUUUUAGGAAGAGCCUCCCCUUCCUGGCUGUGGCAAAGUCUUCCAGGCAGGAGGGUCUGGCUGGCCUUUCUCUGCAUCCAACUGUAUACAGCUCCAGCUCAGACUUACUGCGGGGCAAGAUUCAACAGUCUUAGAGAUUCCUGA